This 309-nucleotide unclassified non-coding RNA is filed under the name Leptodophora orchidicola. Its description in RNAcentral is "Cadophora orchidicola partial internal transcribed spacer region". The stretch from base 1 to 46 matches the Rfam family "Eukaryotic small subunit ribosomal RNA", at positions 1786 to 1831 of the family's 1831-position model. The record is from RNAcentral. Lineage: Eukaryota; Fungi; Ascomycota; Leotiomycetes; Helotiales.
AAGUCGUAACAAGGUUUCCGUAGGUGAACCUGCGGAAGGAUCAUUACUAGAGCAAAGGAUAGACAGCGCCCUCGGAGCUCGCUCCCGGGGCUACCCUACUCCCGUAGGGUUUAGAGUCGUCGGGCCUCUCGGAGAAGCUCGGUCCUGAACUCCACCCUUGAAUAAACUACCUUUGUUGCUUUGGCGGGCCGCCUCGUGCCAGCGGCUUCGGCUGUUGAGUGCCCGCCAGAGGACCCCAACUCUUGUUUUUAGUGAUGUCUGAGUACUAUAUAAUAGUUAAAACUUUCAACAACGGAUCUCUUGGUUCUG